GAACGGGUGAGUAACACGUGAGUAACCUGCCACUUGACUCUGGGAUAAGCCUGGGAAACUGGGUCUAAUACCGGAUAGGAACGUCCACCGCAUGGUGGGUGUUGGAAAGAUUUAUCGGUCAUGGAUGGACUCGCGGCCUAUCAGCUUGUUGGUGAGGUAAUGGCUCACCAAGGCGACGACGGGUAGCCGGCCUGAGAGGGUGACCGGCCACACUGGGACUGAGACACGGCCCAGACUCCUACGGGAGGCAGCAGUGGGGAAUAUUGCACAAUGGGCGAAAGCCUGAUGCAGCGACGCCGCGUGAGGGAUGACGGCCUUCGGGUUGUAAACCUCUUUCAGUAGGGAAGAAGCGAAAGUGACGGUACCUGCAGAAGAAGCACCGGCUAACUACGUGCCAGCAGCCGCGGUAAUACGUAGGGUGCGAGCGUUAUCCGGAAUUAUUGGGCGUAAAGAGCUCGUAGGCGGUUUGUCGC
Molecule: ribosomal RNA, 473 nt
Filed under: Micrococcus endophyticus
Lineage: Bacteria; Bacillati; Actinomycetota; Actinomycetes; Micrococcales; Micrococcaceae
Description: bacterial SSU rRNA
Rfam family: Bacterial small subunit ribosomal RNA
Source: RNAcentral